Molecule: long non-coding RNA, 805 nt
Filed under: Lathyrus oleraceus (garden pea)
Lineage: Eukaryota; Viridiplantae; Streptophyta; Magnoliopsida; Fabales; Fabaceae
Description: Pisum sativum (pea) long non-coding RNA (PSAT_LNC013226)
Source: RNAcentral
CGUUUUAUGAUGGAAACAAGAAACAACUCAAAAACAUACAUAAUAAUGUAAUACUAAAAACCAAGUUAUAAUUUACUUAUAGACAUGAUUUUGUCUCACCAAUAAAUAGAGCAUUGAACUAGUUUUCCAAUGCAUUUGAUCGGGCCUCAUUCCGAAUUACAAAACUCAUUUUAGAGUGAAAACAGAGGAACCAAUUGAUUGUUGUCAUGGCCCAAUCGAUUGGAUCAACAUUCUGUCACGAUUUUUCACUAAAAUGGAAGGGACCAAUCGAUUGGUCCAUGAUAUCAAUCGAUUGACACCUGAAACUUUUCCAAAAAUCACAUCUCUAAACAUGUCUUCUUCCAUCCUUUACCAUUAUAAUCUAUACCAAAACAUAUACCAUCAUGAGUUCAUGUGAUUAACCUCCAUAACUUCAACAACAAAAUAUAUAAGCAACAAGCAAUCAAAGACAACAAUUUCAACAACAACAACAUGGUACAAACACAUAGCAUCAAUAAGAAGUAUGAACAACAACAAUUUCAUCAUAGAUUCACACAAAUCCUAACUCCCAAAAUAUAGAUUAUUUCCCCUCAAAGGCUAAUUCCUAUCUAGAACUCAUCUUGUAGAAAAAAAAGAUGAAGUUUGGUGAAGAAGAUGAGACGAAAUCAUGGUCUUGAUGAUGAUGAUGAUGGCUUCCAUGGAUAUCUACUUCUUCUUCUUUCAUUCCCUUUCCUUUUCUCCAUUCUCUUCUCUUCUUUCUUUAUUGAUAACUUUUUUUUCUCAUUUCUCUUAUUAUUCUUAUCCUUUCUUUUUCUUUCUUCUUAUC